RNAcentral lists this transfer RNA (73 nucleotides) under bacterium ADurb.Bin270. RNAcentral describes it as "tRNA-Gln". It matches the Rfam family "tRNA". From Rfam's summary of the family: Transfer RNA (tRNA) molecules are approximately 80 nucleotides in length. Their secondary structure includes four short double-helical elements and three loops (D, anti-codon, and T loops). The record is from RNAcentral.
UGGGGCGUCGACAAGCGGUAAGUCACCAGAUUUUGGAUCUGGUAUCCGGAGGUUCGAAUCCUCCCGCCCCAGC